Molecule: non-coding RNA, 216 nt
Organism: Vicia faba (fava bean)
Lineage: Eukaryota; Viridiplantae; Streptophyta; Magnoliopsida; Fabales; Fabaceae
Source: the annotation of a GenBank genome assembly
AUGGUUGCUUCUUUAUUUGGAAGCACUAGGGUUGUCAAAUAUAUCAUUGACACAAACAUGGUUGAUGUCAACACACAAACUGGUCGUGAAAAUGUCACUGCUUUACAUUGUGUUGGUGGUGGUGGCUCUGAAUCAACUCUUGAAGUUGUUAAGCUCUUAAUUGAUGAUGGAGCUGAUGUUAAUUCCCUUGAUGAAAUGAUUAAGCAUAAAAUUUAA